AUGUAUUUAAGAUGCUUGGGUUCAUUGUUAACAACAGUACAUUUUACUGAAGUAAGUGGUUGCAGAGGCGGCAAAGCUGGAUCUGAGAUUUUCAUACCCAAAGAAAAAGGGAUGGCUGACAAUCACAUAUUUCCAACAUUAUAGGGUUGAAAAAUGUUUUGUUACUGAUUUUCAUUUGUACUUAGUGUCCGAUGCAUUUUGCUGCAGUCUCCAACAUCAAUUAGCCAGCCCUGAUGGAUUCCAAUUGGUCUGAUAGCACUUUUCAUUGUGGCAAUGUCCUGUUAAAAUCUUUCACCAUGUUUGUCACUGAUUGCACCUAAAAUUUUGGGAAAGAAGUCCAAGUGUGAAUGCAGAAAACAAAUCUUCAGUGACAUGUUGCACUUCAUGGUCUUGUAUACUAUAAGAAGUCUGUUAACCAGCUGAAUGUAAUUUGGUGCUCUGCAGUUGAUACCACUGCCUUC
This is a non-coding RNA of Notechis scutatus (mainland tiger snake), 461 nucleotides long. The record is from RefSeq and is a predicted model, not a curated record. NCBI's taxonomy places the organism in Eukaryota, Metazoa, Chordata, Lepidosauria, Squamata, Elapidae.